This 200-nucleotide ribosomal RNA is filed under the name uncultured bacterium. RNAcentral's name for it is "partial 16S ribosomal RNA". It matches the Rfam family "Bacterial small subunit ribosomal RNA", at positions 8 to 211 of the family's 1533-position model. The record is from RNAcentral.
AGAGUUUGAUCAUGGCUCAGGACGAACGCUGGCGGCGUGCUUAACACAUGCAAGUCGAGCGGAAAGGCCCUUUGGGGUACUCGAGCGGCGAACGGGUGAGUAACACGUGAGGAACCUGCCUUGGCUCUGGGAUAGCUUCGGGAAACCGGGAUUAAUACCGGAUAUGACUGCUGUCGGCAUCGAUGGUGGUGGAAAGUUUU